RNAcentral lists this ribosomal RNA (912 nucleotides) under uncultured Flavobacteriaceae bacterium. RNAcentral's name for it is "bacterial SSU rRNA". It matches the Rfam family "Bacterial small subunit ribosomal RNA", at positions 55 to 973 of the family's 1533-position model. The record is from RNAcentral. Lineage: Bacteria; Pseudomonadati; Bacteroidota; Flavobacteriia; Flavobacteriales; Flavobacteriaceae.
AUGCAAGUCGAGGGGUAUAGUUCUUCGGAACUAGAGACCGGCGCACGGGUGCGUAACGCGUAUGCAAUCUACCUUUCACAAAGGGAUAGCCCAGAGAAAUUUGGAUUAAUACCUUAUAGUAUAACGACUUCGCAUGGAGCUGUUAUUAAAGAUUUAUCGGUGAAAGAUGAGCAUGCGUCCCAUUAGCUAGUUGGUAAGGUAACGGCUUACCAAGGCUACGAUGGGUAGGGGCCCUGAGAGGGAGAUCCCCCACACUGGUACUGAGACACGGACCAGACUCCUACGGGAGGCAGCAGUGAGGAAUAUUGGUCAAUGGGCGCAAGCCUGAACCAGCCAUGCCGCGUGCAGGAUGACGGUCCUAUGGAUUGUAAACUGCUUUUGUACAGGAAGAAACACUCCCUCGUGAGGGAGCUUGACGGUACUGUAAGAAUAAGGAUCGGCUAACUCCGUGCCAGCAGCCGCGGUAAUACGGAGGAUCCAAGCGUUAUCCGGAAUCAUUGGGUUUAAAGGGUCCGUAGGCGGCUUAAUAAGUCAGUGGUGAAAGCCCUACGCUUAACGUAGGAACGGCCAUUGAUACUGUUAGGCUUGAAUUAUUAGGAAGUAACUAGAAUAUGUAGUGUAGCGGUGAAAUGCUUAGAGAUUACAUGGAAUACCAAUUGCGAAGGCAGGUUACUACUAAUGGAUUGACGCUGAUGGACGAAAGCGUGGGUAGCGAACAGGAUUAGAUACCCUGGUAGUCCACGCCGUANACGAUGGAUACUAGCUGUUGGGAGCAAUUUCAGUGGCUAAGCGAAAGUGAUAAGUAUCCCACCUGGGGAGUACGAACGCAAGUUUGAAACUCAAAGGAAUUGACGGGGGCCCGCACAAGCGGUGGAGCAUGUGGUUUAAUUCGAUGAUACGCGAGGAACCUUA